Molecule: ribosomal RNA, 433 nt
Filed under: uncultured bacterium
Lineage: Bacteria
Description: partial 16S ribosomal RNA
Rfam family: Bacterial small subunit ribosomal RNA
Source: RNAcentral
GACGAACGCUGGCGGCAGGCCUAACACAUGCAAGUCGAGCGCGCCCUUCAGGAUCAGCGGCGGCCGGGUGAGUAACGCGUGGGGACAUGCCCUUCUCUGCGGAAUAGCUACGGGAAACUGAGAGUAAUACCGCAUACGCCCUUUUGGGGAAAGAUUUAUCGGAGAAGGGUCGGCCCUCGUUGGAUUAGGUAUUUGGUGGGGUAAUGGCUCACCACGCGGACGUUCCAUAGCUGGUUUGGGAGGAUGAUCAGCCACACUGGGACUGAGACCCGGCCCAGAAUCUUUCGGAAGGCAGCAGUGGGUAAUGUUACAUAAGGGGGGCAAUUCUGAUCUAGCCAUGUCGCGUGAGUUAUGAAUGCAGUAGGGUUGUAAAGCGCUAUCAGCUAGGAAGAUAAUGACGGUACCAGAACAGGAAGCCACGGCUAACUACGUG